Molecule: ribosomal RNA, 253 nt
Filed under: uncultured bacterium
Lineage: Bacteria
Description: partial 16S ribosomal RNA
Rfam family: Bacterial small subunit ribosomal RNA
Source: RNAcentral
UACGUAGGGUCCGAGCGUUGUCCGGAAUUAUUGGGCGUAAAGGGCUCGUAGGCGGUUUGUCGCGUCGGGAGUGAAAUCCACUGGCUUAACUGGUGGCUUGCUUUCGAUACGGGCAGACUGGAGGUAUGCAGGGGAGAACGGAAUUCCUGGCGUAGCGGUGAAAUGCGCAGAUAUCAGGAGGAACACCGGUGGCGAAGGCGGUUCUCUGGGCAUGUCCUGACGCUGAGGAGCGAAAGUGUGGGGAGCGAACAGG